AUUGAACGCUGGCGGCAGGCCUAACACAUGCAAGUCGAACGAGUGGCGGACUGGUGAGUAAUGUCUGGGAAACUGCCUGAUGGAGGGGGAUAACUCCUGGAAACGGUAGCUAAUACCGCAUCCCAUCAGAUGUGCCCAGAUGGGAUUGGCUGGUUGGUGGGGUAACGGCUCACCAAGGCGACGAUCCCUAGCUGGUCUGAGAGGAUGACCAGCCACACUGGAACUGAGACACGGUCCAGACUCCUACGGGAGGCAGCAGUGGGGAAGAUUGCACAAUGGGCGCAAGCCUGAUGCAGCCAUGCAGAGUGUAUGAAGAAGGCCGUCGGGUUGUAAAGUACUUUCAGCGGGGAGGCGUUACCCGCAGAAGAAGCACCGGCUAACUCCGUGCCAGCCGCCGCGGUAAUUC
This 406-nucleotide ribosomal RNA is filed under the name uncultured bacterium. RNAcentral describes it as "partial 16S ribosomal RNA". It matches the Rfam family "Bacterial small subunit ribosomal RNA", at positions 30 to 526 of the family's 1533-position model. The record is from RNAcentral.